GAACCGUUAGGGUCUAGUUUUAGUGGUUUUAGUAUUUUUGAAAACAAGUACCUUUUGUAUAAGGGUUUGUCGAGAAACUUAAUGUAUUUUAUCUCCCGAUUGUAAGAAAUUUAUUUUGUUUAGUUUCACAUUUGUAACAAAACAUGUGGGAAAAUCAAAAUGACUGGUUAUAUGCUUUAUGCUCUUAUAGGUAUCUGGUUAACUCUAAAAUGUGUUUAGUGCAGCUGUUUAUUUUAAAAAGUGAUUGUAAGUUGGAUGAGCAACUUGUGUAGUCUAAAUUGACUGUUGGUAUGACGUGAAGAAGAGUAGAUAGUCUUAAUAUUAGAAAAUAGUAGUUUGUUAUAAAUACAUCUUUGCGUGUUGUAAAAUUUAUCAGUGUGUCAUUGUGAGUAAGGAGUUUAAACCUUUUUAAAGAUUUUUUAAUGACAAAAUUAGUAGAUGCUCAAGUUUUAACUUAAUAGAUAAUAUAAGCAUUAAGGGAGAGAUGGUAUAGAGUGUUGUAAAAUUUAUCUAAUGAACUCGGCAAAGACCGCUCUUCGAAUGUUUAUCAAAAACAUUUCCUCUAGGGUGUAAAUGGAGGUAGGCCCUGCCCACUGCGAUGUCAAGGGCCGCAUUAGCCUGAGUGUGCUAAGGUAGCGCGAUAAUUUGCUUUUUAAUUAGAGGCUGGUAUGAAUGGGUUAACGUAAGAGGCUUCUGUGUCAGAUAAAAUAAUCAAACUUAAUUUUUAGGUGAAGAAGCCUAAAUCGCCUAGAAGGACGACAAGACCCUAGAAUCUGGUUUAAUCUGGCUAGUAAAAUAGUUGGAAUAGUAUUUGUUGGGGCAACAAGGUUAGUAUGAAUAACUUUAUAUAAAGGACUUAUGUGUUAGAUCUGGUCUUGCAAACAUAGUAAGUUACUCUAGGGAUAACAGCGUAAUUUACUUUGAUAGUUCUUAUUGAAAAGUGAAGUUUGCGACCUCGAUGUUGAAUUAAGGUAGCCUUAAGGUGUAGCCGCUUUAAAGGGUUGGUCUGUUCGCCCAUUAAAACCUUACAUGAUUUGAGUUCAGACCGGCGCGAGCUAGGUCAGUUUCUAUCCUCUAGGAGGUAUAUAGCUCAUUUUAGUACGAAAGGAUUUCAUGAGAAUAAGGCUUAUAGGUUUAAAAGUAGUUAAUAAAUAAUGUUAGUUUGUCAAACUAAAGUAGGCAAUAAUGCCCUUU
Molecule: ribosomal RNA, 1194 nt
Filed under: Xenostrobus securis
Lineage: Eukaryota; Metazoa; Mollusca; Bivalvia; Mytilida; Modiolidae
Description: 16S ribosomal RNA
Rfam family: Bacterial large subunit ribosomal RNA (bases 747-1079)
Source: RNAcentral